This is a long non-coding RNA of Eucalyptus grandis, 1535 nucleotides long. RefSeq lists it as uncharacterized. The record is from RefSeq and is a predicted model, not a curated record. The transcript has 7 exons. Lineage: Eukaryota; Viridiplantae; Streptophyta; Magnoliopsida; Myrtales; Myrtaceae.
GAAAGAUUGUAAAGAAUAUAAAGCAGAACGGGUCGCGGUUGAGGGCGACGGUGGUUUUGACAUGCUUGAUUGCUGCAAGUGGGGCGAGAGGUGAUCGCUAUUCACGUUCAUGUAAUCAGUUUGGAUUGGGAGUUUUGAUAGUGAUAAGGUGCGAAUAGACAGGCUCUAGCGUUGAGUACGUCAGUUUUGAGGUUAGACAUUGAGAUUUGUAUUGUGAAUUUGGCAGAUUAGGUGUUUCAUGGUUGGGGGGAAUUGUUGACUCUGUUGUGGAGUUGUAGGACCUGAUUGAAUGGGGCAAACUAUAGCUAUGUGAUCCCUCUGGUGUACAAUUGGCAGCUUUCAAUUCAUGUGACUGAUGAGUGUCGAGUUGUACUUGGUUGCUUCUGUUAAUCCCUUAGAUUACUGAGUUUGGAUCAAUGCUACAAUUGGAAUGUGGUCAGAUUGAUCGAAUUUCCUCAUAUUUGUUCGGUACAGAUCACACUCUGCUGUUUCUACUUUGGGGAAAAAAAUUGUUGAGUGUCUUACGGUGAUUGAAUAACAGCUGUUCAGCUUUUGUUCAGUUGAGUUAUGGCUGUAGCCUGUAGGUUUUAGUGGAGUAACUUUGUGGGAAAGUGGAGCCUUACGUUGUUUACUUAUUCCUCCUUCAUUGCAUUGGAUUGUGUAAAUACUUCUUUCGGUUCACAAAGGACUGCAAAAAUAUACUGAAUGUUGUUUUGAGUUGAUGUUGACUUAAAGCGUUCCCCUCACUUGAUUUGUCAUUAUAGCUUGCUAGAGACAUAAGAAACUUGAUUCAUUGCUUGUGAUUGAAUGAGCUUGAGACUGCAUUUCAAUCUGAAAUUUUAUGUACUGGUAAAUGCAGAAUUAAAAGUGAGGUCCAAGGCUCAUAAAGCUGUUUACAAUCACACUCUUGCCACGAUAUUGGUGGGGUUUACAUGUCAGAUUUGACAGAACUUUUUAGCUGGACAUGCCCUAGAUGUGAUGGAAAGAACAAGCCUCAUCUUAUGAGCUUCCGAACUGGUUAUUAAUGCCUUUUCGAGAUGAAAGCAGGGGUUCGAAGUCAUUAAACUGAUAGUUGACCUUCAGCACUGCUUACAGGCACAUGUUGGGGUGGCCAAGGACCUUAAUGCUACGGUUAUUGCUUUCAAAGGUUUCCAAGAACAUAGCAUACAAAAUUGAGUUGAAGAUCUCUAUUGGAAACAGCUUGACAUAUUACCCCGGCAUGCCUAGUGCCAUGGGCAUUCUAUUGGAGGGGCUAUGACAUCCUUUUGGGGACUCGAUCUUGUGCUCCUCUUCAGUCAGACUACUGGGCUAGAUAAACGUAUGUAUUUGCAAACAUUUUUUUGUUCAUGUGAAGUCCUCAGAGAGGUACUAACCGAGGUAUACUUGUUUCAUCAUAACUUUUUUCUAGCUUUUCCUGCUUCCAUACUGCACUAGUUAUCGUUCUUAUGACAGAGAACCUCAUCUUCAAUACUUUCAAAUACUUCAUGUUCCCGACCAAACCAGGCAGCUUCUCUAUGUUCAUGUUCAGUAGUGUC